UACAGAGGUCUCAAGCGUUGUUCGGAAUCACUGGGCGUAAAGGGUGCGUAGGCGGCGUGGAAAGUCAGAUGUGAAAUCCGGGGGCUCAACCUCCGAAUUGCAUCCGAUACUCCCAUGCUGGAGAACUGGAGGGGAGUCUGGAAUUCUCGGUGUAGCAGUGAAAUGCAUGGAUAUCGAGAGGAACACUAGUGGCGAAGGCGAGACUCUGGACAGUAUCUGACGCUGAUGCACGAAGGCCAGGGGAGCGAAC
RNAcentral lists this ribosomal RNA (250 nucleotides) under uncultured bacterium. RNAcentral's name for it is "partial 16S ribosomal RNA". It matches the Rfam family "Bacterial small subunit ribosomal RNA", at positions 524 to 773 of the family's 1533-position model. The record is from RNAcentral.